Molecule: ribosomal RNA, 34 nt
Filed under: Zaptyx takarai
Lineage: Eukaryota; Metazoa; Mollusca; Gastropoda; Stylommatophora; Clausiliidae
Description: Hemiphaedusa takarai partial 5.8S rRNA
Source: RNAcentral
GAAAGAGCAGAGAAAAGGAAUAGAACAACUUUGA